CCCUGCCUAUUCCCGCAGCCAAUCUCGUGCCAUCUUCUGUCCCCAAUCCCUGCAUCCAUCUCUCCCCAAUCCAUGCCUCCAUCUCUCCCCCAUCCCUUCUCUAUUGGUUUGCUCCAUGGCUGGAGCAGGGAGAGGCAAAAGGAAGCAUCAAACCAUGGAUGAGGAGGUGGAGCUCGAUGUAGAUCGCCAUCGCGGGAGCAGCGCCGCCUCGCCGGUCAGGGAUGGGAGGGCGUACGAAGGGGCAGGCACAGGAGACGCGCUUUAGAGGAGUACUGCUCGACGCUGGUUCGUCCGGAACGAGGAUGGCUAGCAACGCAAGUACCAGGGACCCCUCCACAUCUUCUUCGUCACUGAAGAUGUCAGCCCGCCUCUCCCUCUUAUUUUCAGGUUCUUCCUCUCUCUCUCUCUCUCUCUCAGAUGUGUUCUCCUAUAGCCUGAACCAAAGUGAAAGCAGACUUCUCUUGUUUGAUUUAGCCCCCUGAACAUCAUGUUUUGGUUUGUGCAGAUCCGUUAGAUCCGUUUCUAUAUGGAAGUUAAUCUUAUAAUUGAUGAAUUCAUGCUUUGCUUAUGUGGAUAUCAUACAUAUAUUGUUAACUGUCAAUUGAUUUGUUCUAUGAAUAUCUUCAUGCUUUUAAAUAGCAGGUUAUUGUAAAAAGAGAUUUGUGUGCACUUGCUUCGUAUAGAGCUCGGCUAUGUUUUAAUCUGAAAACUAGGACGACCAUGACUAAACCGAAUUUGAACUUGACGGUGAAUUUGUCGGAUGUCUGGUUCUUUUUUCUCUUUCGCGCGAAAAACACAUUCCUUAAUUCAAAUUCACAUGAAUUUAGUUGAAAUCUCUAAAUGUAGUCUCGUGUGUAUACUGGGUACGCUAUAUACAUGGAGGAUAAGUGGUCUUUGUAAUGCUUGUGGUGAAAUGGAGAUAAGUAGAACAUAGAAUUGAAUGCGAAAGCUUGAAUGUGUGCUUGUCUCAGUCCUAUGGCACUCCCAUGAAGGUGUUAAUCGUUGACCUGACUUGGUUCUACUCGAUCAACAUGUUCACUCACAAGAGUUUUUACGCAUACUGCAAUCCGUUGUUUGUCUAGAAUUUAGUUUAUUUUCAAAAUAUAUAUGGUUUUGUGGUGUAUGGUUCUGUGAUCUAUCAAGCUCUCUUGUUCAUUGCUUUUUUUGGGUGUUUGUUGCUCUGUCUUGACAUCUGUUGUGGUGCAGGCUGAAGCUAGAUGGGCAUUUAAAGUUUAUGCCUACAUUGGAAAAUCCAUAUUCAACAUUAUUGGGUAAUGAUGUUUCUGAACUUUAUUUCUAUUUUAUACCACAAAUCUGGAAGUCCAUUUAUAUAGCAAUGAUUCAUGCACACGGGUUAAUAACAUCUUCAAGAUAGGAUUGUUGUCGUGCUUGUGGAUUUUACUUCGUUAUGUGAAAGAUGAAAAUGAACCUUCAUAGCCAUUGUUUAUGUCUGCUUGUUAUUAUGUUUAUAUUCUCCUCUGCCCUUAAUUAUGCUCUGGGUAGAUUUGUUGGCCUGCACCUGGCUCUACCUAUAUUAAACCAUAUUUGUUCGUUUCUCAUUGCUUUAGAAAUUCAUAUUUAUAUGCUAGCUGGUAUGUCAUAGGUCCAGCAGCGGUGGCAAAGAUGGUGUGGCGGUGAAGAAACCAAAACAGUUUGUGUCCAGACAAUAUUUGUCUGCAUAAAGUAUACUAUGUUGAUUCUAUUCGAGUACACCAUGAUGAUUUUUGUGUUCUUUGUUCUUGUCUUGGUUUCGCAGGUGAUCUGUUAUGUAUAGCCUUCUCUUGAUGGAUGGUUCCUAUUGUGAGGUCAUCUCGCAGCGCUAUGUGGAGAGCUCAUUAGUACUUUAGUAGUGCUCACUAACUCGACGUGUACUCAACGUGUCUGUGUCUGGACUCACACUACUACUCUCUACUACUAUUGGUUCUCUGCUAUGCUGUCGAGCUAAUGGCCGCAUUUAUGUUGUCACGAUCUAUACCGAGCGGAUUACUAAUCAAUCAUUUUGUUUAGUUACAAUCACAAUAAGUUUAUGAGGUGCCUACAUAGGUUGGUUUGUUGCGUCAGAUUUUCUUAUGCUCAUGUUCAUACUUUCUUUGAGAAAUAAAAUAUUUGAUGUGGGGCUUUUGCCUCACAGUAUACCAAUAAAAAGAAGUUUCAGUUAGUUUUACAGAUUAAAAAGGCUUUUCAUUGAAAAGAAAGCUUUCUUCCAGCCUAAACUUGCCUCUGGUUUUAUUCUAAAAAUGUAUUGAGUUUACUGUCAUUAGUGGAAGUUACUUAGCAGGCACUAUCAAUUUCUACACCAAGCAAUGGAUACAUGUACUGAGGCACUAUCAAUUUCUACACCAAGCAAUGGAUACAUGUAUUCAGGCACUAUCAAUUUCUACACCAAGCAAUGGAUACAUGUACCCAGCGUAGAUUCUUUUACUCAGUGGAGACAAGCGCUCCUUUUUCCUUAGCAUAUGCCUGCAAAGUAGCCUGACAAUCGAAAUAUCAUUCAUCUGUAGGCCAGGCACCCUGCAAUCCUAGAAGAGCACAAUAUAUUGCUUUUUUUACAUGCAUAUAUAAAUGUUCGGAGAUACCUUAUUCUGAUUGAUCGUUCCAGGUAUUGAUACUACUUGGCUCCUUUUCUCUACCUUUCUGGCCUAACUAAUAAGAAUGAGGUAAGAUGAGACAAGUAUUUUAGUUUCGAUGGAGAGAUGGAAAUUUCUCAGUUUUCAAGGACAAAGGUGAGGCAUGUGUUUUAUUUUUCAAACUGAAGCACAAUAUGUGUCUCUUUGGGUUAUAUUUGCAUAUAUUAUCGCAUAUUUUAGUCUCUUCUGGUCCUUUUUGCUCUAAAAAUAUUGGUCAAGAAGUUAAUUUGCAGUAUUGAAGUACAUGUUAUUUUCCUGAAAACAACAUUCAUGUCUUGUGUAAUUUCAGGUCCAUAUAAUGCCUCCCUGAACCUAACAAUGCCAUGGCUCUGCUUUAUCCUGACCUUCUACUGAUUUUUUUAGUAAUUAGCUCGUUUUGGAGCUUUUUCUUCCUCUUUGUAUGCUUAUGUACUUUGCUUGAUUUGGUGAGACUUGAGUAAGGAUCUCCUGGAAAGUAUUCAGUAAGGAUCUCUGUCCUCUUUACAAACUUUGGUUUGUCAAGUUAUCAGGUCGUGCUCCUAUGCUUUCGUAGAUCCAUUGAAAAUUUGCUAUGGCUAUUUACCUGCCAGGAACAUCUAUGAUAUUCAUCUUAGGCACCUCUUUUAUAUAUGCCCAAUCACAUAUUUUUUUAUAUAAAUUUCUCCAUAUCAAAUUAUCUGUACAAGUUUGAGCACUUUUACCUCGGUAUAGAAUUGUACUUUUUUCUCAAAACUGUUGAUCUGAUUUUGUUCAUCGUUGUCUGCCAUAUGAUUCUUUAUCUUUUUUCCUCCUCUAGCUGUUGGUUGAAUGAUUAAAUUAAUACAGGCCGUUACACAUGGUAUGGUUUUAGAUGAUUUUGCUAGAUCAGAUACACAGAAGAAGUGGUACAAGGUAAAUCAAAAAUCUCACUGAACUGUUGGAUGUUUGGGUUAUCGUGGAUACAUAGUUGUUCUUCGAUGAUCUUUGCUUUAUUGUUUUCAUGUGCCUCUUGAAUUUAGAGGUUAGUUCUGGAUGAUGUUUUGCCGAAUAGCGACGUCGCCCAACUAGAGUCUGAUGGCAUACUGAUAGUUUCCCUUUUCUUUUAUAGGCAUAACUAAUUUUCCUGGCAUUUAGAGUGCCGAGGCGGAAUGUAUGGCAUAGAUUCUUGACAUCGGCAACCUUACUGUUAUCUUCAUGCUGGACCUUGCCGUGUCGAGUGGUUGCUGCUUGGAUAUGGGUUUGCUUGUGCUACACGUAGUAUCUUCCAAGCUCACUCUUCUGUGCCUAUGUGGAUGGUUGUUUUGAUCAAAUGGUACUAUCUUAUAUCCAUACCCUCUAGCCACGCAUGUUCGUUUUACCAUCACCGUGAGAAGCUUAGCCCUUCAGACUCGUGGUGAUGGUUGGAGGUGAAGGCAAGGUGUUUUUUCUUGAUGAUUUUUCAUUUGUCACUGAACAAUACUCUGGACAUAUUUAGUUCAUGCCUUUCUAUCUUAUAGCAGUGUAAAGGAACCUCUUGCAGGGUAGUACAUUGUUCCUUCUCUAUAUUCUCUGUGUGGAAAACAAAACACAUAUUUACCACUUAUUAAUAUUCUGAAUGUUGUGUUUAUU
This is a long non-coding RNA of Lolium rigidum, 4193 nucleotides long. RefSeq lists it as uncharacterized. The transcript is spliced from 4 exons. The record is from RefSeq and is a predicted model, not a curated record. Lineage: Eukaryota; Viridiplantae; Streptophyta; Magnoliopsida; Poales; Poaceae.